CCUACGGGGGGCAGCAGUGGGGAAUAUUGGACAAUGGGGGGAACCCUGAUCCAGCCAUGCCGCGUGUGUGAAGAAGGCCCUCGGGUUGUAAAGCACUUUCAGUGAGGAAGAACGCCUGGUGGUUAAUACCCAUCAGGAAAGACAUCACUCACAGAAGAAGCACCGGCUAACUCCGUGCCAGCAGCCGCGGUAAUACGGAGGGUGCGAGCGUUAAUCGGAAUUACUGGGCGUAAAGCGCGCGUAGGUGGCUUGAUAAGCCGGUUGUGAAAGCCCCGGGCUCAACCUGGGAACGGCAUCCGGAACUGUCAAGCUAGAGUGCAGGAGAGGAAGGUAGAAUUCCCGGUGUAGUGGUGAAAUGCGUAGAGAUCGGGAGGAAUACCAGUGGCGAAGGCGGCCUUCUGGACUGACACUGACACUGAGGUGCGAAAGCGUGGGUAGCAAACAGGAUUAGAUACCCGUGUAGUC
This 465-nucleotide ribosomal RNA is filed under the name Vreelandella stevensii. RNAcentral's name for it is "partial 16S ribosomal RNA". It matches the Rfam family "Bacterial small subunit ribosomal RNA", at positions 338 to 795 of the family's 1533-position model. The record is from RNAcentral. Lineage: Bacteria; Pseudomonadati; Pseudomonadota; Gammaproteobacteria; Oceanospirillales; Halomonadaceae.